Molecule: ribosomal RNA, 253 nt
Filed under: uncultured bacterium
Lineage: Bacteria
Description: partial 16S ribosomal RNA
Rfam family: Bacterial small subunit ribosomal RNA
Source: RNAcentral
UACGUAGGGGGCUAGCGUUGUCCGGAUUUAUUGGGCGUAAAGAGCGUGUAGGCGGCCAGGUAGGUCUGCUGUGAAAACUCGAGGCUCAACCUCGAGACGUCGGCGGAAACCAUCUGGCUAGAGUCCGGAAGAGGAGAGUGGAAUUCCUGGUGUAGCGGUGAAAUGCGCAGAUAUCAGGAAGAACACCCGUGGCUAAGGCGGCUCUCUAGUACGGUACUGACGCUGAGACGCGAAAGCGUGGGGAGCAAACAGG